Molecule: long non-coding RNA, 460 nt
Organism: Amphimedon queenslandica
Lineage: Eukaryota; Metazoa; Porifera; Demospongiae; Haplosclerida; Niphatidae
Exons: 4
Source: RefSeq, a predicted model, not a curated record
GUCACAUUGCUACCACUUAAUUCAGCAACAGAACUGGGAAAGAAAUCGAAAUAUGAGAAAUUAUUUCACUGUGCCUUUUUCUCAAACAGUAUGAUACAUCAUCUAACAUCUGUCAAUGGACUGGACAGAGUAAUGAAUGAAAGAUGCUUACUGAUAUGUGAAACGGCAAGAUUCAUACUUGAUUUGAGAAAAGAGAAUAAAGAUGAAUAUCUUAAGAAAGUAAUGCAAAUGGCUUUGGCCAUUGGAUUUAAGUCAUCUCAAGUCGAAACAGAUGCUAGCAAUACUCUGUUGUUCACACUAUCAUGAUGAUUGCCAUCAUUAGCACUCCUUAUCACUUAUUGUUACUAAUAUGACAAUUUAUUAUUAUUCAUAAAACACUAAAAUUAUGAUGAUACAGAUAAAUAGUCAUUGAUUUCUUCAUUUUCAUUUCGGAAAACAAGGUUUCUUUCUAUAUAGUCCA